AUGAACGCUAGCGGCAGGCUUAACACAUGCAAGUCGAGGGGCAGCACGGGUAGCAAUACUUGGUGGCGACCGGCGCAAGGGUGCGUAACGCGUGAGCAACAUGCCCGUAUCAGGGGGAUAAUCCAGGGAAACUUGGUCUAAUACCCCAUAGUAAUCUUAUAAGGCAUCUUUUAAGAUUUAAAGCUUUGGUGGAUACGGAUUGGCUCGCGUGACAUUAGUUAGAUGGUAAGGUAACGGCUUACCAUGACUAUGAUGUCUAGGGGUUCUGAGAGGAAGGUCCCCCACACUGGAACUGAGACACGGUCCAGACUCCUACGGGAGGCAGCAGUGAGGAAUAUUGGACAAUGGAUGGAAAUCUGAUCCAGCCAUGCCGCGUGCAGGAUGAAGGUCCUAUGGAUUGUAAACUGCUUUUGUAUGGGAGCAAUAAGGUCUUCGUGAAGGCCGAUGAGAGUACCAUACGAAUAAGCACCGGCUAACUCCGU
Molecule: ribosomal RNA, 482 nt
Filed under: uncultured bacterium
Lineage: Bacteria
Description: bacterial SSU rRNA
Rfam family: Bacterial small subunit ribosomal RNA
Source: RNAcentral